GGGUAAAAUAAAAAUUACACUUAUUGACAAAUAAAGAAUGUACAAGUAAAAAUGAGAAAUUCUGUAUUCCAGGUUGUCAAAUUGUAAAACUCUGGCAAUGGAGAAAUAUAUUUCAAAUAACGGAAUGCAAAUAAAGUUAAUGCAUGCAAUUAAUCUGGAAACCUUUUUUUUCCUCAAUUUAAAUUUAUUUAAAGGCCAAAUACCCAACUCACUCAUAAGAACUCCCCUUAUCACUAUUGAUUCUCCAACACCAGGAGGGUGAAGAGUAGCACAUGUCUCCUCCAAUACAUGUGAAGUCAGACUCCGCCUCUUUUCAAAUUGCUGCUGAGUAGCAUCACAGUGCGCUUGGAGGAAAGCGCAGCGACUCGGUUCAGAUACAUCAGCUCACAGACGCCUUGUGCUGAUCGACAUCACCCUUUGAAGUGAUGUGGGAGUGACCGCUCUCUACAGACCCUGAGCUUUUCAUUACAUAAUUUCAUUGUGUCAUACGAAUAAUUUAAUUUGAUUGAAGUGUCUGAGAUUUACAGAGGUAUUAAACCCGAUAAAAGUUUGUUUUUUAGGCUUAAUAUGAAACACAUUUGCUUGCUUUAACACUCGUUCAUAACUUUGGAGACUAAGAAGGCUUUUGAGAAAUAGGAGCAUAAUUGUUGUUCUUAAAGUUGCAUUGUUCUUAUAUUUGUGUCGCUCUUAACAUUGCUUCAUUCUUAAUGUUUUGUCAUUCUUAAUGUUGUGUCGUUUUUAAAGUUACAUCUUUCCUAAUGUUGCGUGUUUUUUAACGUUGCAACGUUCCUACUAUUUUGUCGUUCUUAACGUUUGUCUUAAUGCCGUGUUGUUCUUAACACUGUGUCAUUCUUAAUGCUGUGUCAUUCUUAACACUGUGUCGUUCUCAAUGCUGUGUCAUUCUUAGCGGUGUUUUGUUUUUAACGGUGUGUCGUUCUUAACACUGUGUCAUUCUUAACGCUGUGUCGUUUUUAACAUUGUGUGGUUCUUAAGGUUGUGCUGUUCUUAAAGUUGUGUCGUUCUUAAGGUUGUGUCGUUCUUAAGGUUGUGUCUUUCUUAAGGUUGUGUCUUUCUUAAGGUUGUGCUGUUCUUAAGGUUGUGCUGUUCUUAAGGUUGUGUCGUUCUUAAGGUUGUGCCGUUCUUAAGGUUGUGCCGUUCUUAAGGUUGUGUCGUUCUUAAGGUUGUGCCGUUCUUAAGGUUGUGUCGUUCUUAAGGUUGUGCCGUUCUUAAGGUUGUGCCGUUCUUAAGGUUGUGUCUUUCUUAAGGUUGUGUCUUUCUUAAGGUUGUGCUGUUCUUAAGGUUGUGCUGUUCUUAAGGUUGUGCCGUUCUUAAGGUUGUGUCGUUCUUAAGGUUGUGCCGUUCUUAAUGUUGUGUUGUUCUUAAUGUUGUGUUGUUCUUAAUGUUGUGCCGUUCUUAAGGUUGUGUUGUUCUUAAUGUUGUGUCAUUCUUAAUCUUGCGUUGUUCCUAAUGUUGCGUCAUUCUUAACGUUGUGUCGUUCUUAACGCUGUGUCGCUUUUAACAUUGUGUGGUUCUUAACAUUGCUUCGUUCUUAACGUUGUGUCGUUCUUAAUGUUGUGUCGCUUUUAACAUUGUGUGGUUUCUUAACAUUGCUUCGUUCUUAACGUUGUGUCGUUCUUAAGGUUUUGUGGUUCUUAACAUUGUGUCGUUCUUAACGCUGCAUCGUUCUUAAGGUUGCAUUUUUCUUAGCACUGCGUCAUUCUUAAGGUUGCAUUUUUCUUAAUGUUGCGUUGUUCUUAGCAUUGCGUCGUUCCUAAGGUUGCAUUUUUCUUACCGUUGCGUUGUUCUUAACUUUGCGUCGUUCUUAGGGUUGCAUUUUUCUUAAUGUUGCGUUGUUCUUAGCAUUGCGUCGUUCCUAAGGUUGCAUUUUUCUUACCGUUGCGUUGUUCUUAACUUUGCGUUGUUGUUAAGGUUGCAUUUUUCUUAAUGUUGCGUUGUUCUUAGCAUUGCGUCGCUCCUAAGGUUGCAUUUUUCUUACCGUUGCGUUGUUCUUAACUUUGCGUCGUUCUUAGGGUUGCAUUUUUCUUAAUGUUGCGUUGUUCUUAGCGUUGCAUCAUUCUUAAGGUUGCAUUUUUCUUACCGUUGCAUCGUUCUUAAGGUUGUGUCGUUUGUAAGGUUGUGUAGAUUUUAACAUUGCUUCAUUCUUAAUGUUGCUUUGUUCUUAAUGUUAUCUCAUUCUUAAGG
Astyanax mexicanus (Mexican tetra) is the source of this 2202-nucleotide long non-coding RNA. RefSeq lists it as uncharacterized. Lineage: Eukaryota; Metazoa; Chordata; Actinopteri; Characiformes; Acestrorhamphidae. The transcript is spliced from 4 exons. The record is from RefSeq and is a predicted model, not a curated record.